This 497-nucleotide ribosomal RNA is filed under the name uncultured bacterium. Its description in RNAcentral is "partial 16S ribosomal RNA". It matches the Rfam family "Bacterial small subunit ribosomal RNA", at positions 28 to 507 of the family's 1533-position model. The record is from RNAcentral.
GAUGAACGCUGGCGGCGUGCCUAAUACAUGCAAGUCGAGCGAACAGACGAGGAGCUUGCUCCUCUGACGUUAGCCGCGGACGGGUGAGUAACGCGUGGAUACCCUACCUAUAAGACUGGGAUAACUUGGGGAAACCGGCGCUAAUACCGGAUAAUAUAUUGAACCGUAUGGUUCAAUAGUGAAUGACGGUUUUGCUGUCACUUAUAGAUGGAUCCGCGCCGCAUUAGCUAGUUGGUAAGCUAACAGCUUACCAAGGCAACGAGGCGUAUACGACGGGCGAGGGUGAUAGGCCGCAUGAGAGGUGGGACGGGGACAAGGCGACUACGGGAGGGAGCAGAAGGCAACCGGCCGCAGUGGGCGAGAGCCUGACGGAGCAACGCGGCGUGAGAUACGAAGGCGCCCGGAGCGGAAAACUCGGUUAUUAGUUAAGAACAAAUGUGUAAGGAGCCAUGCACGUCUUGACGGUACUGAAUCAGAAAGCCACGGCUAACUACGUG